This 336-nucleotide unclassified non-coding RNA is filed under the name soil metagenome. Its description in RNAcentral is "partial contains 5.8S ribosomal RNA, internal transcribed spacer 2, and large subunit ribosomal RNA". The stretch from base 1 to 120 matches the Rfam family "5.8S ribosomal RNA", at positions 35 to 154 of the family's 154-position model. The record is from RNAcentral.
GAUGAAGAACGUAGCGAAAUGCGAUAAGUAAUGUGAAUUGCAGAAUUCAGUGAAUCAUCGAAUCUUUGAACGCACAUUGCGCCCGCCAGUAUUCUGGCGGGCAUGCCUGUUCGAGCGUCAUUUCAACCAUCAAGCCCCAGGCUUGUGUUGGGGACCUGCGGCUGCCGCAGGCCCUGAAAACCAGUGGCGGGCUCGCUGUCACACCGGGCGUAGUAGAUUUUAUCUCGCUCAGGGCGUGCUGCGGGUUCCGGCCGUUAAAAAGCCUUUUUUACCCAAGGUUGACCUCGGAUCAGGUAGGAAUACCCGCUGAACUUAAGCAUAUCAAUAAGCGGGGGA